RNAcentral lists this ribosomal RNA (367 nucleotides) under uncultured eukaryote. RNAcentral describes it as "partial 18S ribosomal RNA". It matches the Rfam family "Eukaryotic small subunit ribosomal RNA", at positions 592 to 975 of the family's 1831-position model. The record is from RNAcentral.
CAGUAGCGUAUAUUAAAGUUGUUGCAGUUAAAAUGCUCGUAGUUGAAGUUCGGAUGCAGCAGAGCUUGGAAACGCUGUUAUGGUGCUUCCGUUGCUUUUGCUUGUCCACAGUGCGUUGCAAGUACGUAUGUGCUUGUGCGUGCAUUUUACUUUGAGAAACAUAGGGUGUUCCACGCAUGUUACGGCAUGAAUAUUCCAGCAUGGGAUAAUCUGGUACGACUUCCAAUCUGCCAUUUUGGUUCGUAGGUUGGAAGUAAUGAUUAAUAGGGACUGUCGGGGGCAUUCGUAUUUGACUGUCAGAGGUGAAAUUCUUAGAUUCGUUGAGGACCAACCACUGCGAAAGCAUUUGUCAAGGAUGUCUCCAUUA